UGAUUACAUGGAAAAGUAAUACUUUUGCAAGA
This 32-nucleotide non-coding RNA is filed under the name Rattus norvegicus (Norway rat). Lineage: Eukaryota; Metazoa; Chordata; Mammalia; Rodentia; Muridae. The record is from RNAcentral.